RNAcentral lists this long non-coding RNA (2719 nucleotides) under Capsicum annuum. Its description in RNAcentral is "long non-coding RNA (CANN_LNC004624)". Lineage: Eukaryota; Viridiplantae; Streptophyta; Magnoliopsida; Solanales; Solanaceae. The record is from RNAcentral.
GUAUGUUCGUUCUUAAGCUCUAAGAAGGCAAACAAAGUUACGAGCUAUAUCCUCCCACUCAUUCAUGAAAUCACUACCAACUACAGCUAUUUCAACUAGAGACAUAAUGUAAACACUGGUUGAUUUCUAGGUCUAUUAACUCCCAAUGGAUCGAUGGCAAUUUAAAAAUAAUGACAAAGCAAUGUCUUACCAAAACUGACCUCAGCUGCAACAAUGGAUCUCAAGUCUAAAUGGACUAGUUUAGAAGCUGUAGGAUUUAUCUUUACAAAAGUGUGGACAUUGCCCCAAUAAGACCAAGUCCAUACACGAGAAAAGACAAAUUUUUUUGCAAAAAAUGAUGAAAAUAAAAUUUUAGGGUGAAACGAGCUCUAUUGCGGGAAAUAUUGAAAGCUUGGGAAGAAAAUAGAUUUCAAACACCAAAUUUAAUAAAGAAAUGCCAAAAUUUGGCUAGAAAAUUAAGGGCAAUCGGGAUUCUUUUUGGCAAAAAUGGCUUUUGACAAUGAAGCUUCUUGGAGACGUUUUUGAUUAGAUAUUUUUUUUCUUUUGCUUUUAUUUUUUAAAAAUGAUUAUUAAGUGUAGGGUAUUAAAUGAAUGAUGUUGGGAAGGGGCUUCUUGUAUUAUUAUAAAUUUUUGGAUAAAAAAUGUAUAAGGACAGGGUGAUGUCAUAAUAGGUGUGUAUCCGUAAUACUUUAAAACUUGUGUCUAAAUUCCUAAUUGAGUUUGGAGAGUGAGUUUAUAGCAAACUUGAUCACCUUUCUGUGCAAUCACUAGCCCAAAUCUAAUAGUACAAGCCAAGAGUGUUUUGUACGGAAAUAAAAUAGCUAAAAUAACAUAAACAUACAACUUAACUUAUCAUAUUUACACAAAUUCUCACCCUUGUAAAGUAAUUACAAAAUUUUUAGCUAAUUAUGUAUCUUCAUUGGAUGUAUCCGGGAGCUAAUUAUGUAUCUCGAUAGACCUAAAAUCUAAAAAUAAUAUAUCGGGGGCUAAUUAUGCAUUUUUUAUAAGGAAAAAAUGUAUCUUUGUUAAUGCAUUAUGUAUCUCGACAAACCCAAAAUCAGAAAAAAUAUAUCGAAAGCUAAUUACGCAUCUUUAUAAAGGAAAAAAUGUAUCUUCGUUGGAUGUAUCAGGACCUAAUUAUGUAUCUCGACAGACUUAAAAUUAGAAUUUCAGGAAUUAUACAAAAUAUCGAGAUAUUUUGUAAUUAAACUCCAAAAUAUUGACAUUUAUAUUGUUUGCCCGACAAAAUAUCGUUAAAAUUUUCUAUGUUUAUUUGAUUAAAAAUUUAGAGAAUAUUUUGUCUAAGAAAACAAGACUUUUGAAGUAGGAAAAAAAAUUCCACGAAUGAAAUUCCACGUUAAUCGUCUCUUCCCCAUCCUUCAAUACACCCACACUCAACCCCACUCCUCUAGCCCCUAUUGUCAUCCCCACAUAGUGUUUACCUCAAUUAUAUAAAAUAUUUUUAAGACAAUGUUUUUUUACUUAAUUAUCAAUUAUCGUAUUUCAAAAAAUAAAUUAAAAACCUCCUUGCUGGAACAAUUGUUUAAUCUAGCCUAAAAAAUGGUAAAAUGAUUUAACCAAAUUUUAAUAUAAGGGGGCGCAAAUGUGCUGUAUCAUUAACCUAGUGAACUGAUUGAUCUGAAAAUGCAAUAGCCUCUCACCAAAAUGCUUUUCAAAAAUAUAUCAUAAAAAUAGUCUAAGUUUUACAUUUUAAAAAAAUCUGAAAUUUCUAACUUAAAACUGAAAUCCUACCUAAGUGAAUUUAGAAUUUGAAAUUCAAGUUCUAGUCAAAUGUCAGAAACAAGCACAAAACUUCAAAUUGAAAGUCCAAAAUGCAUGGACAAACGGUCCCAAAAUAAAUUAUCAACAUUUCCACGAGAUAAAAAAAGAAAAAAGAAAGAGAAACGAGUUCAAAAGCAAGAUGUAUAUAUGCAUAUUAUCAGCGUAUGAGCCUUUAAUUUCUGUAAUAACUUAUACUCCCCACAGUUUAUUUCUAUACAUAUGCAGAGCAAUUAUUCAACAUAUUUUUAAUUUGUUGAAGAAAAAGAGGACAAGAGAAAGAAAAAUGUUAUAUCAAAGGGUACUAUCUCAAUGACUUGUGAUGGUUGGAAGGAACGAUCUUGAUGACAAGUCCAGGGAAAACAUCAUCAGGAUCGUGAAUAUGUGGAUUUCUCUCAACAAUAUAAGGAUCACCACACUUGUCACUUAUAGUAUGUAACGUUUCCCCUUCUCCAACAACAUAAAUUUCGUCACACGGUCGAUGAGACAUCAACAUCUGACUUCCUCUUACUACAUAUUCCAAAUUCCUAAGGUUAUUUUCCCUAACAGAGCUCAUUAAGACAAUUGCCAUGAAGCUAACUGCACAUAACCAUGAAGCUACAUCGGCUAUUAAUAUUGAAGUUUUAAUUUUGGAUGUGUUUUUAUUGGAUAGUAAAGCCCUCAUGUGGAAAAAAAGAGAAGAUAGAUACUGAUUUGAUAUCGUGUAUAAAGAUGGUGGAGAGAUUUGUAUUUAUACGGAUAUUGGUGAUAGUUUUUUUUUUUGUGUGUGUGUGGGGUGGGUGGGGGUGGGGGUGUUAGGUUGAUGAAGACUUUUGAUAUAUUAGUUUUGAAUUAGGCAAGUUGAGUUGAACUACAAUUUGGCAUGUACUUAUUAUAUGCCCACCAAAUUAUGCUAGACCGUUAUGAAAACUUGAUUAGGCAAGAGAAAAAGACAUUUUUU